UGGGUGGUGAGAAAGUGUAUAGAAAUCUCUUAAAAACCCUCUUGAAAGUGCAAAUCUGGAGCAAAGUGUAGGGAGACCGCCAAGCGAAACUCAAAGGGGCAAAGCAAAGUGAAGAAAUCUUGAAAACACCCAGCUUUUAAAAAGCUCGGGUUCUAUUUUUCGCCGCCACCGCCCGACGACAAAGUGGUACCGCCCGGCGGUGGGUGGUAAUUUUCCUUACCACUUUUCUUGCUUGCCUCUUUGUGAUUUCUCUUGGUGACUCCUGAUCUUUGCCCUAAAUUUUUCAAUCUCAAGAUUUUCCUCACUCAAAUGCAUAUGCACACACAAAAUGUAAUAGACAGAAUUUGAAAAACAGAAAACAAACACAGAAAUUCAAAUUAUUAUACAAAAUUUGGGAAAGUCCCCACAAACACCCAUCAGUAGGUGUUAAAUUUGUUCUCGCUUGGUAUUUUCUUCUUCUUCUUCUUUACGCUAAAUCUCUUCACAAAGUUGAUCGAACCAAGCACAUGUCUCCAUACAUCAAUCAUAGGAGCCUUAAUCUCCAAUUCCUUGAAGAUCUCCAUAAGUACUUGAACCUAUUUUCCUGCCUAUGAUUUUUCUUUUGAGGAAGGGGUUUUUUACAUAACUUUUUUUCUUUCCUCUCUUCCUUUUUUUCUUAAUUUUAUCCUUCCUUAAACUUCUCUUUUUCUUUUUCUUUUCUUUUUUUAUUUUCACAUUUUUUUUCUUUUUUUCUUUUCUUUCAACCACUGCUUUUCCUUUCUCAUCCUUCUUCUCACUCUCAUUCAACUUUUUUGUUUCUAUCUCCUCUACCUUGUCCGCAACAACAACUUUUUCUGUUUUUGUUUCCUCUUCAUACAUCUCUAGCUCUUCUUCUUCUAUCUUUUCCUCCUUGACAACCUUAUCAUUUGUAAAGAUAGUGACUUUGCAUUCUUCUAUAGGGUUAAUUUCAGUAUUAACCCUAAUAAUGCCCAGAGACUUCAAGACCUUUGUUAUCUCAUCUUCCUCUAUCUUUUCUUCAUCAAUAAUCCUAUCAUCCUCAAAGAUAGAAGCUUGACAUUCUUCCUUAGGGUUAACUUCAGUAUUAACCCUAAUAAUACCCAGUGACUUCAACGCAUGAGAGUGUUGUUCCUGCAAUAAAUGUUCUUUGGCUUCCCGCAACGUUUCUUUUCGCACUGAGAAUAAUUUCUGCUUUAAACGUUGUUUAGCUUCCCCC
RNAcentral lists this long non-coding RNA (1213 nucleotides) under Vigna radiata. RNAcentral's name for it is "long non-coding RNA (VRAD_LNC008438)". Lineage: Eukaryota; Viridiplantae; Streptophyta; Magnoliopsida; Fabales; Fabaceae. The record is from RNAcentral.